AGCAGCCGCGGUAAUACGGAGGAUGCAAGCGUUAUCCGGAUUCACUAGGUUAAAGGGUGCGUAGGCGGAAUAAUAAGUCAGUGGUGAAAUCUUGCGGCUCAACCGUAAAAUUGCCAUUGAUACUGUUAUUCUUGAGUAUGGUUGAGGUAGNCGGAAUGAGUAGUGUAGCGGUGAAAUGCUUAGAUAUUACUCAGAACACCGAUUGCGUAGGCAGCUUACCAAGCCAUCACUGACGCUGAGGCACGAAAGCGUGGGUAGCAAACAGGAUUAGAUACCCUGGUAGUCCACGCCGUAAACGUUGAUUACUCGUUGUUGGCAAUACACCGUCAGCGACUGAGCAAAAGCAUUAAGUAAUCCACCUGGGGAGUACGUCAGCAAUGAUGAAACUCAAAGGAAUUGACGGGGGCCCGCACAAGCGGAGGAACAUGUGGUUUAAUUCGAUGAUACGCGAGGAACCUUACCUGGGCUUAAAUGUUUAGUGAUCGACCGGGAGACCGGUUUUUCCUUCGGGACACUUUACAAGGUGCUGCAUGGUUGUCGUCAGCUCGUGCCGUGAGGUGUCGGGUUAAGUCCCAUAACGAGCGCAACCCCUAUCGCCAGUUGCCAGCACAUAAUGGUGGGAACUCUGGUGAAACUGCCGGUGCAAACCGUGAGGAAGGUGGGGAUGACGUCAAAUCAGCACGGCCCUUAUGUCCAGGGCUACACACGUGUUACAAUGGUCGGUACAACAGGAUGCCAAUCCGCAAGGAUGAGCUAAUCCCAAAAGCCGAUCUUAGUUCGGAUCGGAGUCUGCAAUUCGACUCCGUGAAGUUGGAUUCGCUAGUAAUCGCAGAUCAGCCAUGCUGCGGUGAUACGUUCCCGGGCCUUGUACACACCGCCCGUCAAGCCAUGGAAGCCGGGGGUGCCUGAAGUCCGUAACCGUAAG
RNAcentral lists this ribosomal RNA (925 nucleotides) under uncultured organism. Its description in RNAcentral is "bacterial SSU rRNA". It matches the Rfam family "Bacterial small subunit ribosomal RNA", at positions 510 to 1445 of the family's 1533-position model. The record is from RNAcentral.